This 71-nucleotide transfer RNA is filed under the name Ovis aries (sheep). It matches the Rfam family "tRNA". From Rfam's summary of the family: Transfer RNA (tRNA) molecules are approximately 80 nucleotides in length. Their secondary structure includes four short double-helical elements and three loops (D, anti-codon, and T loops). The record is from Rfam by way of RNAcentral. Lineage: Eukaryota; Metazoa; Chordata; Mammalia; Artiodactyla; Bovidae.
UCCCAAAUGGCUCAGUGGUAGAGAAUCUACCUGUAAUGCAGGAGAGUCGGGUUUGAUUCCUGGGUCGGGAA